CCUACGGGAGGCAGCAGUGAGGAAUAUUGGUCAAUGGGCGCGAGCCUGAACCAGCCAAGUAGCGUGAAGGAUGACUGCCCUACGGGUUGUAAACUUCUUUUAUAAAGGAAUAAAGUGAGGCACGCGUGCCUUUUCGUAUGUACUUUAUGAAUAAGGAUCGGCUAACUCCGUGCCAGCAGCCGCGGUAAUACGGAGGAUCCGAGCGUUAUCCGGAUUUAUUGGGUUUAAAGGGUGCGUAGGCGGCCUUUUAAGUCAGCGGUGAAAGUCUGUGGCUCAACCAUAGAAUUGCCGUUGAAACUGGGGGGCUUGAGUGUGUUUGAGGCAGGCGGAAUGCGUGGUGUAGCGGUGAAAUGCUUAGAUAUCGCGCAGAACCCCGAUUGCGAAGGCAGCCUGCCGGGCCAUGACUGACGCUGAUGCACGAAAGCGUGGGGAUCAAACAGGAUUAGAUACCCGAGUAGUC
RNAcentral lists this ribosomal RNA (460 nucleotides) under uncultured bacterium. RNAcentral describes it as "partial 16S ribosomal RNA". It matches the Rfam family "Bacterial small subunit ribosomal RNA", at positions 338 to 795 of the family's 1533-position model. The record is from RNAcentral.